This 253-nucleotide ribosomal RNA is filed under the name uncultured bacterium. RNAcentral's name for it is "partial 16S ribosomal RNA". It matches the Rfam family "Bacterial small subunit ribosomal RNA", at positions 524 to 776 of the family's 1533-position model. The record is from RNAcentral.
GACAGAGGGUGCAAACGUUGUUCGGAAUUACUGGGCGUAAAGCGCGUGUAGGCGGCUAUGUAAGUCGGGCGUGAAAUCCCACGGCUCAACCGUGGAAGUGCACCCGAAACUGCGUAGCUAGAGUCCUGGAGAGGAAGGUGGAAUGCUUGGUGUAGAGGUGAAAUUCGUAGAUAUCGAGCGGAACACCGGUGGCGAAGGCGGCCUUCUGGACAGUGACUGACGCUGAGACGCGAAAGCGUGGGGAGCAAACAGG